Molecule: non-coding RNA, 102 nt
Filed under: Bacillus manliponensis
Lineage: Bacteria; Bacillati; Bacillota; Bacilli; Caryophanales; Bacillaceae
Description: Guanine sequence
Rfam family: Purine riboswitch aptamer
About the family: Riboswitches are metabolite binding domains within certain messenger RNAs that serve as precision sensors for their corresponding targets. Allosteric rearrangement of mRNA structure is mediated by ligand binding, and this results in modulation of gene expression.
Source: Rfam by way of RNAcentral
UAAAAUUAAACAAAAGCAUCUCGUAUAAUCGUAGGGAUAUGGCCUACAAGUUUCUACCAAGCUACCGUAAAUGGCUUGACUACGAGAAUAAAUGAAGGUGGA